RNAcentral lists this ribosomal RNA (484 nucleotides) under uncultured bacterium. RNAcentral's name for it is "partial 16S ribosomal RNA". It matches the Rfam family "Bacterial small subunit ribosomal RNA", at positions 30 to 507 of the family's 1533-position model. The record is from RNAcentral.
AUUGAACGCUGGCGGCAGGCCUAACACACGCCAGUCGAGCGGAUGAAGGGAGCUUGCUCCUGGAUUCAGCGGCGGACGGGUGAGUAAUGCCUAGGAAUCUGCCUGGUAGUGGGGGAUAACGUCCGGAAACGGGCGCUAAUACCGCAUACGUCCUGAGGGAGAAAGUGGGGGAUCUUCGGACCUCACGCUAUCAGAUGAGCCUAGGUCGGAUUAGCUAGUUGGUGGGGUAAAGGCCUACCAAGGCGACGAUCCGUAACUGGUCUGAGAGGAUGAUCAGUCACACUGGAACUGAGACACGGUCCAGACUCCUACGGGAGGCAGCAGUGGGGAAUAUUGGACAAUGGGCGAAAGCCUGAUCCAGCCAUGCCGCGUGUGUGAAGAAGGUCUUCGGAUUGUAAAGCACUUUAAGUUGGGAGGAAGGGCAGUAAGUUAAUACCUUGCUGUUUUGACGUUACCAACAGAAUAAGCACCGGCUAACUUCGUG